Molecule: small nuclear RNA, 100 nt
Filed under: Chinchilla lanigera (long-tailed chinchilla)
Lineage: Eukaryota; Metazoa; Chordata; Mammalia; Rodentia; Chinchillidae
Source: RNAcentral
GUGCUUACUUCAGCUGCAUAUAUACUAAAACUCAGAAUGAUACAGAGAGGAUGAGCAUGGUCCCUGCACAAGGAUGAUAUAUAUGCACACCCACGUUCAU